Molecule: ribosomal RNA, 253 nt
Filed under: uncultured bacterium
Lineage: Bacteria
Description: partial 16S ribosomal RNA
Rfam family: Bacterial small subunit ribosomal RNA
Source: RNAcentral
UACGAAGGGGGCUAGCGUUGCUCGGAAUCACUGGGCGUAAAGCGCGCGUAGGCGGAUCUUUAAGUCAGGGGUGAAAUCCUGGAGCUCAACUCCAGAACUGCCUUUGAUACUGGGGAUCUCGAGUCCGGGAGAGGUGAGUGGAACUGCGAGUGUAGAGGUGAAAUUCGUAGAUAUUCGCAAGAACACCAGUGGCGAAGGCGGCUCACUGGCCCGGUACUGACGCUGAGGAGCGAAAGCGUGGGUAGCAAACAGG